AUUCUAAGGCGUGAUGGGGAAGGUCAUUAAGACCGAAGUACAUGAUUCCAUGCUUCCAAGAAAAGCAUCUAGAGAGAGAAGUAGUGCCCGUACCGCAAACCGACACAGGUAGAUGAGGAGAGAAUCCUAAGGCCGGCGGAAGAAUUGCAGUUAAGGAACUAGGCAAAUUGACCCCGUAAGUUCGCGAGAAGGGGUGCCUGCGAGAGCAGGCCGCAGAGAAUAGGCCCAAGCAACUGUUUAGCAAAAACACAGGUCUCUGCUAAAGCGUAAGCUGAUGUAUAGGGGCUGACGCCUGCCCGGUGCUGGAAGGUUAAGGGGAACACUUAGCGCAAGCGAAGGUGUGAACUUAAGCCCCAGUAAACGGCGGCCGUAACAAUAACGGUCCUAAGGUAGCGAAAUUCCUUGUCAGGUAAGUUCUGACCCGCACGAAUGGCGUAAUGACUUGGGCACUGUCUCAACUGCAAAUCCGGCGAAGUUGUAGUGCGAGUGAAGAUGCUCGCUACCCGCGAUUGGACGGAAAGACCCCGUAGAGCUUUACUGUAGCUUAGCAUUGAAUUCCGGUAUUGUCUGUACAGGAUAGGUGGGAGACUAGGAAACUAGGGCGUCAGCCUUAGUGGAGUCAACCUUGGGAUACCACCCUGACAGUACUGGGGUUCUAACAGGACGCCAUGAAGCUGGUGACUGGACAUUGUUAGGUGGGCAGUUUGACUGGGGCGGUCGCCUCCUAAAAAGUAACGGAGGCGCCCAAAGGUUCCCUCAGGACGGUCGGAAAUCGUUCGUAGAGUGCAAAGGCAGAAGGGAGCCUGACUGCGAGACCUACAAGUCGAGCAGGGACGAAAGUCGGGCUUAGUGAUCCGGUGGUACCCCGUGGGAGGGCCAUCGCUCAACGGAUAAAAGCUACCUCGGGGAUAACAGGCUGAUCUCCCCCAAGAGUCCACAUCGACGGGGAGGUUUGGCACCUCGAUGUCGGCUCGUCGCAUCCUGGGGCUGUAGUAGGUCCCAAGGGUUGGGCUGUUCGCCCAUUAAAGCGGCACGCGAGCUGGGUUCAGAACGUCGUGAGACAGUUCGGUCCCUAUCCGUCGCGGGCGUAGGAAAUUUGAGAGGAGCUGUCCUUAGUACGAGAGGACCGGGAUGGACUGACCUCUGGUGCACCAGUUGUUCUGCCAAGAGCAUGGCUGGGUAGCUAAGUCGGGAAGGGAUAAACGCUGAAAGCAUCUAAGCGUGAAGCCCCCCUCAAGAUGAGAUUUCCCAUAGCAUAAGCUAGUAAGACCCCUUGAAGAACACAAGGUUGAUAGGUCAGAGGUGGAAGUGCGGUAACGUAUGUAGCUGACUGAUACUAAUAGGUCGAGGGCUUGACCAA
RNAcentral lists this ribosomal RNA (1360 nucleotides) under metagenome. Its description in RNAcentral is "bacterial LSU rRNA". It matches the Rfam family "Bacterial large subunit ribosomal RNA", at positions 1553 to 2925 of the family's 2925-position model. The record is from RNAcentral.